UGUGCCGUUCUAGUGUGGAACUUGGGCCAUCUCAUUUUGAUUACAGUGUCCAGGUGUGUGAGCUACGGCGCAUCAUUCUCGUCAAAUCCAUCUCGUAAAUUACGACGACUACGAAGAAGAUAAAGCUGUAGAACUAACUAAUCCGGUACUUUGUUUGCUUUUUCUCGGAAUUUCGUGGAUGCCUCGGGGAAGACUUCAAUGGCGUCGGAGAGGGACGUCCUUGGUCAGGAUUCGAACCUGCGAUCUCAGAAUCGGGUUAUGAACAUCUCCGUGGUAUUCCCGUGAUUUUCUAAUUUAAGAAUAACUUUCGUUUGCAGGUUAAGACAAUGUGGAAGGCUUUUU
This 342-nucleotide long non-coding RNA is filed under the name Physcomitrium patens. Its description in RNAcentral is "long non-coding RNA (PPAT_LNC011683)". Lineage: Eukaryota; Viridiplantae; Streptophyta; Bryopsida; Funariales; Funariaceae. The record is from RNAcentral.